AAUAGAGGAGCGGAGAGCAAAAGUAACCGAGCUUGGGGCACACGGGCAUGUGCGGAGGGCGCGGCGAAAGGGCAUCCCCGCCGAAGCGGAAGCCCUGCCCGACCUUUCGCUGGGCGCGCAAGAGAAUAUCUGCGCGACUGUCACUUGAUGUGUUGCGC
RNAcentral lists this non-coding RNA (158 nucleotides) under chicken gut metagenome. RNAcentral describes it as "Lysine riboswitch". It matches the Rfam family "Lysine riboswitch aptamer", at positions 9 to 161 of the family's 182-position model. Rfam says of the family: Riboswitches are metabolite binding domains within certain messenger RNAs that serve as precision sensors for their corresponding targets. Allosteric rearrangement of mRNA structure is mediated by ligand binding, and this results in modulation of gene expression. The record is from RNAcentral.